UACGUAUGGUGCAAGCGUUGUUCGGAAUUACUGGGCGUAAAGCGCACGCAGGCGGAUGUCUAAGUCGGAAGUGAAAACUAUGGGCUCAACCCAUAGCCUGCUUCCGAAACUGGUCGUCUGGAGUCCCGGAGAGGUGAGUGGAAUUCUCGGUGUAGCGGUGAAAUGCGUAGAUAUCGAGAGGAACACCAAUGGCGAAGGCAACUCACUGGACGGUGACUGACGCUGAUGUGCGAAAGCGUGGGGAGCAAACAGG
Molecule: ribosomal RNA, 253 nt
Filed under: uncultured bacterium
Lineage: Bacteria
Description: partial 16S ribosomal RNA
Rfam family: Bacterial small subunit ribosomal RNA
Source: RNAcentral